Long non-coding RNA from Phacochoerus africanus (Common warthog), 920 nucleotides. RefSeq lists it as uncharacterized. The record is from RefSeq and is a predicted model, not a curated record. Lineage: Eukaryota; Metazoa; Chordata; Mammalia; Artiodactyla; Suidae. The transcript has 4 exons.
CACUGCAAGAAUCAAAGAGAUUGAAUUUGAUAAUCUCACAGCUGUGAGAGUGCAUCUGUCAUUCACAGGUUCAAACUCACAACCAACCAUAAACAGGGUUCGACUGUUGAAAGGGCUGCAAUCUUGCAAAGUAACAUAAACUGAACUUGUAUCUGAUGGAAAGAACAACAACAAAGAGGUAAACUUCCUGCUUGCCUGAAAGUGAGAACCGUACUUGAAAGUCUCUCCAACAAAGCUACAGCUGAUUUUAUGUAAAGUUGGGGAAGCCUGGGCUCAGGAACUGGCGGACGUUGAGAAGAGGAAGGAUUGAAGGACGUAUGAAUUUUCAGCUGUGUUAGUCUAGCCCUGGAGCAACGGUGUCUUUGAUUGGCUGGCUUUCUAGCACAGUCCCGGGAGUGAGGCGCUUGCUGAUUGGCUUUCGUCUGAGUGCGAGGCCUGUCACUGAUUGGCUGACAUUCAGAGGCUUGGGGCUGGCAUGGAUUUGCUCACAGCCAGAAGCAUAGUUACUGGAGUGAGAAUAUUGCUGAUUGGCUGAUUUUCAGAACAAAAAUCGGCCCAUGGUGUGUCAGGCUCUGUCCACAUGAAGACAACGGCGAACAAGAAGAGAAAAUCUAUUUCAUGUGGCUAUUUUGUUUUGCUUUUUCUUCCGCAUCUACUCUAACCUACGAUUUCUUGUUAUACUGUAACCAUUCAAAUCCUUUUUGGAUCAAGACAGUGUAUAGGAUUCUAAGCAGAAAGCCAACGUGUCUGCCCAUGCUGCCGCCAAGUUGCUAUUUGGUAAAUGAAUGAAUCAGUUGCAUUCGUGUAGCAAGAAGGUCAACCAAGGAGUCAGGAGUCUCAGGCGUCCUGCAUUACUCUGUGGCUUCCUACUCAGAGGAGUUCCCAUCGUGGUGCAGCAGAAAUGAAUCCAACUAGGAACC